RNAcentral lists this ribosomal RNA (588 nucleotides) under uncultured bacterium. Its description in RNAcentral is "bacterial SSU rRNA". It matches the Rfam family "Bacterial small subunit ribosomal RNA", at positions 337 to 916 of the family's 1533-position model. The record is from RNAcentral.
UCCUACGGGAGGCAGCAGUAGGGAAUCUUCCACAAUGGGCGAAAGCCUGAUGGAGCAACGCCGCGUGAGUGAUGAAGGCCUUCGGGUUGUAAAACUCUGUCAUUCGGGACGAACCGGAGUCUGAGGAAAUGCAGACUCUCUGACGGUACCGGAGGAGGAAGCCCCGGCUAACUACGUGCCAGCAGCCGCGGUAAUACGUAGGGGGCAAGCGUUGUCCGGAUUCACUGGGCGUAAAGCGCGCGCAGGCGGUGAUGUAAGUCUGAGGUGAAAACCCGAAGCUCAACUUCGGGACUGCCUUGGAUACUGCGUCACUUGAGGAUAGGAGAGGCAAGGGGAAUUCCACGUGUAGCGGUGAAAUGCGUAGAGAUGUGGAGGAACACCUGUGGCGAAGGCGCCUUGCUGGCCUAUUUCUGACGCUGAGGCGCGAAAGCGUGGGGAGCAAACAGGAUUAGAUACCCUGGUAGUCCACGCUGUAAACGAUGAGUGCUAGGUGUAGGUGGGCUCAUACCCAUCUGUGCCGAAGCUAACGCAUUAAGCACUCCGCCUGGGGAGUACGGUCGCAAGACUGAAACUCAAAUGAAUUGACGG